Molecule: long non-coding RNA, 359 nt
Filed under: Coffea arabica (coffee)
Lineage: Eukaryota; Viridiplantae; Streptophyta; Magnoliopsida; Gentianales; Rubiaceae
Description: long non-coding RNA (CARA_LNC007379)
Source: RNAcentral
ACGAAGGGAAGAAUCCCAGUGGGCGGCUGAAGACAUAAUCGGAAGAGCUUGGGACAAGAACAUCGGACUCGAAUUCCAUUUCUGAUGAUCAAGACCAGGGCAACUGAGCACCCCACGAUGCUGCUGCUACUGUCCGUCGACCACCACCAACGCCACCAUCCCGCCGGAAUUCACCGUCGCCGUCUACGAAGUUUGCGGAGAGAACCCUGUAAGUUAACGUUUUCCUUUACAUUUCAGCUUUCUUUCAGAGCAUGUCUGCCGUGACUUUGUCUAUUUCAUCCUGCUGAUUGUUCAUGAUUUUAGCAUGCGCAUGUUUCUUGGAUUGAUUGGACUGUGUUCUUUUGUACAUCUGAUCAAAU